Parelaphostrongylus tenuis is the source of this 79-nucleotide non-coding RNA. Lineage: Eukaryota; Metazoa; Nematoda; Chromadorea; Rhabditida; Metastrongylidae. The record is from the annotation of a GenBank genome assembly.
GCCAAUUCUUCUCGGUGAUGUAAUGGUAGCAUGCGUCCCCGGUACGAAUGGAACACGGGUUCGACUCCCGUCUAAGGCC